RNAcentral lists this ribosomal RNA (260 nucleotides) under uncultured bacterium. RNAcentral's name for it is "partial 16S ribosomal RNA". It matches the Rfam family "Bacterial small subunit ribosomal RNA", at positions 1231 to 1500 of the family's 1533-position model. The record is from RNAcentral.
UGGACGGUACAACGAGUCGCAAGACCGCGAGGUUUAGCAAAUCUCUUAAAGCCGUUCUCAGUUCGGAUUGUAGGCUGCAACUCGCCUACAUGAAGUCGGAAUCGCUAGUAAUCGCGGAUCAGCAUGCCGCGGUGAAUACGUUCCCGGGCCUUGUACACACCGCCCGUCACACCAUGGAAGUUGGGGGUGCCCAAAGCCGGCAGGGAAAUAUGCUGUCUAAGGCAAAACCAAUGACUGGGGUGAAGUCGUAACAAGGUACC